UACGGAGGAUCCAAGCGUUAUCCGGAAUUACUGGGCGUAAAGAGUUGCGUAGGUGGCAAAGUGUGUCGGUAGUGAAAGCGUGGGGCUCAACCCCAUAUACAUUAUCGAAACUGCUUGGCUAGAGGACGAGAGAGGUGCCUGGAAUUCCCAGUGUAGGAGUGAAAUCCGUAGAUAUUGGGAGGAACACCGAUGGCGUAGGCAGGGUACUGGCUCGUUCCUGACACUAAGGCACGAAAGCGUGGGGAGCAAACGGG
Molecule: ribosomal RNA, 254 nt
Filed under: uncultured bacterium
Lineage: Bacteria
Description: partial 16S ribosomal RNA
Rfam family: Bacterial small subunit ribosomal RNA
Source: RNAcentral